Molecule: non-coding RNA, 122 nt
Organism: Streptococcus uberis
Lineage: Bacteria; Bacillati; Bacillota; Bacilli; Lactobacillales; Streptococcaceae
Source: Rfam
UGAGAAAAGCAGAAGUGAGAGCUUCUCGCCUUGCGACUUAGGUUGUCUGGCCCUACAUGUCAAAUCCUUUUGGAUAUAAUGUGUGCGGGCCUGAUUUAUCAGGCUCGCUUUCGUUUUUCUCU